GCUUCUCAGGAAAACCAGGAGAAUCAGGAAAACCAGGUUCGCCAGGGAAAGAUGGAGCGGACGGUUUCCCUGGAAACGACGGCGAGAAGGGACAAAAAGGAGAAUCUGGACAGGAUGGCUUCCCUGGUAAACCUGGACCAAAGGGAAAUGAAGGCCCUCCGGGACCCCGAGGACCUCCUGGUGAACGGGGAGAGUCUGGUUUGACCGGGCAGGGCUGGCCCAAUGGGACC
Molecule: long non-coding RNA, 230 nt
Organism: Danio aesculapii
Lineage: Eukaryota; Metazoa; Chordata; Actinopteri; Cypriniformes; Danionidae
Exons: 5
Source: RefSeq, a predicted model, not a curated record